CAAAAAUCAGCAUUCUCAUUGGAUAAGGUUAGGAAGUACCUCCUUUAUUUCCAUAUGUUUCACCCGUGUUUCACCCGUGUUGUGUCUGUUGUGUAUGACCCAGCAUUCACUUCUUGACACACAAACUUUCCAGGAGAGAGAAGAGCUCCAUCAGUCUAGGUCGUCCCCUGUUCCAGUGCUGUAUCUGUGUGGAGCGCUACCUGGCAGUGGUCCACCCUGUUGUCUACCUGAGGGCUCAACUGCAAAAGAGAUUGUGGUUUCAAGAUGACUCCCUGCUACCUCUCUGGGACAGGCGGGACGCAAAUGUCCUACCUGGCCAAUUGCCAGGGAUAAUGCAGAGCUCCAAAUUCAAAUAAAAUAUUAUAAAAUUCUAACUUUCAUUAAAUCACACAUGUAAGAUACCAAAUUAAAGCUACACUCGUUGUGAAUCCAGCCAACAUG
Oncorhynchus keta (chum salmon) is the source of this 441-nucleotide long non-coding RNA. RefSeq lists it as uncharacterized. NCBI's taxonomy places the organism in Eukaryota, Metazoa, Chordata, Actinopteri, Salmoniformes, Salmonidae. The record is from RefSeq and is a predicted model, not a curated record. The transcript is spliced from 3 exons.